This 60-nucleotide small RNA is filed under the name Enterobacter cloacae. RNAcentral's name for it is "Pseudomonas sRNA P26". It matches the Rfam family "Pseudomonas sRNA P26". Rfam says of the family: P26 is conserved across many Gammaproteobacteria species and appears to be consistently located between the DNA directed RNA polymerase (beta subunit) and 50S ribosomal protein L7/L12 genes. Lineage: Bacteria; Pseudomonadati; Pseudomonadota; Gammaproteobacteria; Enterobacterales; Enterobacteriaceae. RNAcentral also lists the same sequence under 5 other names. The record is from RNAcentral.
UUUUCUGGUUGCAGCCUAAGUAAUUAGGCUGAUGGCUGGUGACUUUUUAGUCACCAGCCU